Molecule: non-coding RNA, 398 nt
Organism: Hyaloperonospora arabidopsidis Emoy2
Lineage: Eukaryota; Oomycota; Peronosporomycetes; Peronosporales; Peronosporaceae
Source: Rfam
UUUUUUGUGAGUCUGCCUUUCUGCCAUUAAGUUGGUGGGUUGGUGGGUUUGCAUCGUUUACUGUGAAAAAAUUAGAGUGUUUAAAGCAGGCGUUUGCUCAUUUGAAUACAUUAGCAUGGAAUAAUAAGAUACGGCCUUGGUGGUCUAUUUUGUUGGUUUGCACACCAGGGUAAUGAUUAAUAGGGACAGUUGGGGGUAUUCAUAUUUCAGCGUCAGAGGUGAAGAGACGAGAGAGAAGAACGGUCAUCUCAGCGCAGUUGCGCGAGUACUUCUGUAAGUACGCCGCUAGACCAAGGGACUUUCUUAGUCCCUUAACUUUGACUGACGGUCCAGUCGGUAAUCGCCUUGAUCUUUCCGGGAUCAGGGCGUACGCCGUGUUUGCCAAAGAUGCACCCAAG